Molecule: ribosomal RNA, 114 nt
Filed under: Candidatus Aenigmatarchaeota archaeon
Lineage: Archaea; Nanobdellati; Candidatus Aenigmatarchaeota
Source: RNAcentral
CUUGGCGGCCAAAGUGGAGAGGUUUACCCGUUCCCAUUUCGAACACGGAAGUCAAGCUCUCCUACGGUCUGGGCAUUACUGGUUUCGGCUGGGAAACCCAGAUCGCUGCCAAUU